Mauremys reevesii (Reeves's turtle) is the source of this 703-nucleotide long non-coding RNA. RefSeq lists it as uncharacterized. The transcript is spliced from 4 exons. NCBI's taxonomy places the organism in Eukaryota, Metazoa, Chordata, Testudines, Geoemydidae. The record is from RefSeq and is a predicted model, not a curated record.
AGUGAUGAUGGAAGAGCAGAUUGAAAGCAAGGCAUCUAAAUUUACAGAUACUGACACUGGAGAUUCUCCCAAAGGAGUUAUAAUGCAACAGGAUUAAAAAAGAUUCAGAUGCACUUAAGUGGCCGACGCACUGUUGUGAUAUCAACCCAGAAGUUCCAAUGCUCCAGGAAUCCAUCAGCAGGGUGUGGGUUACAUGAAGGGAGACCACCAUCUAAAUCUUGCAAAUUGCCACUGUCCAUCCACCCGCUGGCUUGAGCUGCAGAGAGCUGUGUCGGGCAUAGUGCCCUUGAGAGGUGCCACUGCCACACCUGCCAAACAUCUGACCCUGAUCAAGUGGAGAAAGAAGUGAACCAGGAAGAAUAUGUUCAGUGAGACCCACCAGCCCUCUCUAGGUGCUGAUUGAGAAUACAGGGCUUGUAGGGGCCAUGUCUAUGACCACGGAGGACCAAGUUUGGAGAGAGCAAUUGCUGCAGGAGAGGGAAAUGGACUGAAAAGUGAAGUGGGAAGUGCACCAGGGCAUCCUGGGUUUGCUCAGGCAACACACUCAGAUAUUGCAGAGCAUUACCAGACACCCCAGAUACAGCCUUUCUACUCUGUGGAAAGCUCCCUAGUUGCUGCCCCUUGUAAUCCCCCAACAUAUCAAGGCAGCAUAGUUCCGACUCUUAUUCCUACCACUCCACAUCAAGGGAAAAUGAGAACCACA